RNAcentral lists this transfer RNA (74 nucleotides) under Caldisericota bacterium. RNAcentral describes it as "Caldiserica bacterium tRNA-Arg". It matches the Rfam family "tRNA". From Rfam's summary of the family: Transfer RNA (tRNA) molecules are approximately 80 nucleotides in length. Their secondary structure includes four short double-helical elements and three loops (D, anti-codon, and T loops). The record is from RNAcentral. Lineage: Bacteria; Pseudomonadati; Caldisericota.
GCCCCGAUAGCUCAACUGGAUAGAGCGCCUGACUUCGGAUCAGGAUGUUGGGGGUUCAAAUCCUCCUCGGGGCG